Molecule: ribosomal RNA, 376 nt
Filed under: uncultured Campylobacterota bacterium
Lineage: Bacteria; Pseudomonadati; Campylobacterota
Description: bacterial SSU rRNA
Rfam family: Bacterial small subunit ribosomal RNA
Source: RNAcentral
UAAUACGGAGGGUGCAAGCGUUACUCGGAAUCACUGGGCGUAAAGAGAAUGUAGGCGGGUAAUUAAGUCAGAUGUGAAAGCCAAUAGCUCAACUAUUGAACUGCAUUUGAAACUGAAUACCUAGAAUAUGGGAGAGGUAGAUGGAAUUUCUGGUGUAGGGGUAAAAUCCGUAGAGAUCAGAAGGAAUACCGAUUGCGAAGGCGAUCUACUGGAACAUUAUUGACGCUGAGAUUCGAAAGCAUGGGGAGCAAACAGGAUUAGAUACCCUGGUAGUCCAUGCCCUAAACGAUGCACACUAGUUGUUGCCUUGCUCGACAAGGCAGUAAUGCAGUUAACACAUUAAGUGUGCCGCCUGGGGAGUACGGUCGCAAGAUUA